Molecule: long non-coding RNA, 291 nt
Organism: Nematolebias whitei (Rio pearlfish)
Lineage: Eukaryota; Metazoa; Chordata; Actinopteri; Cyprinodontiformes; Rivulidae
Exons: 3
Source: RefSeq, a predicted model, not a curated record
UUAUGGCACACCUGUUUCUUAUGCCGUGGAAGGCAGUGACAAUGCUUUUCUUCUCAUAGACUAUAACGGGUGGGUGCUGUAUGUGAAUGGAAAGGAGCGGAUUACUGACUGUCCUGCUGUGAACACGGGCCAGUGGUUCCACAUCGGUGUAUCCUGGAGGAGCUGGGACGGAGACUGGAGGAUCUACAUCAACGGGAAGCCCUCAGAUGGAGGCAAAGGCCUAUCAGUUGGCACCACUAUCCCAGGUGGGGGAGCGCUUGUUUUAGGUCAGGACCAGGAUCAGAGAGGAGA